UCUAGUGCUGUUUGCACUGAAAGGAACCUAUAUAUGUCUCCCCUGCAGGGGCAGCAGAGGAGAAGAAGAAUUGGGAUCUCUGCAGAGAUGAGCCUCUUUCUGGCAAAGGUGAUCAAGCUCUGAAUCUUCCUGUCUGUUAGAACCAUUGGCUGUCAUUAGAUGUGCAUCAUGAGACAAAGAUCCAGAAUAUUAUUAUUCCAAUCCACCUGUGAGUCUACAGAGCAGCCAGGGCUGCGUGCUCAUUGCCCUUUGAAAGAAGCUGGAGUCCUGCCAGUCAGCCAUUUGGCAGGGAAAGAGAACUUCCGAGAGGACCUUGCCUAUACCACAGAGGACUCCCACACAGUUGCACAGGCUUCCAGCUGACACUGAAAGAUCUCCUGCAAAGCCUGGUUCAGCCAGCAGCUGGCAAUUUGUUCUUUCUUUUUAUAGAAACUGGAGCGCUCUCUCUCUC
Long non-coding RNA from Hemicordylus capensis (graceful crag lizard), 451 nucleotides. RefSeq lists it as uncharacterized. The record is from RefSeq and is a predicted model, not a curated record. NCBI's taxonomy places the organism in Eukaryota, Metazoa, Chordata, Lepidosauria, Squamata, Cordylidae. The transcript has 3 exons.